AUCAAGAGAAAGGUGGUAUGUGGUGCUGACGAGGCCAACCUCAUUUUCAUUGACUUCCACGUAAGCAGCCAGGGGGCACACUGCGGACAGAAACGCACCAGAGAUGCCAUCACGAAGAGAUUUUUCUGGCCUGGAAUGACCAUAGAUAUUGACACCUGGGUAUGUGUACAAUGCCAGGCCAGCCAAACCACUAUUAAACAGGAGGUGGAGUACAUCUCUAUAAAGGCACCCCUUUGAGUUAAUUCGCAUGGAUCUCAUUGGGAAACUGCGCCAUAGCAAAGGGGAAUCAGUACAUCUGUGUCAUGAUUGAUUAUAUGACCAAAUGGCCUCAGGCCAUCAGCCUCAUGAAGACCAAGACUGCUGCGGAGGUCACAGAUUCUCAAAAUCUUUUAUCAGUUUGAGGCCCCAAAAAGAAUCCCGACUGAUCAGGGAAAAUAAUUUGUCAAUGAGAUCAACAGGAAUGUUUGCAAAAUCCUGGGGAUAAAAAGAAGCCUCUGUUCCCCCUACCACCCCCAGACCAAUGGGCUGGUAGAAAGGAUGAAUGCGACAAUACAGAGGUGAGAACAAUGGCUUGUGGACUGCCCCAUAUGUUCAUGUUUGUAUUAGGGAUCCUCCAAAUCCAGGAUAAGCUGUUGUAUUCUCUACAUUUUUGUAUACAUUGCUUGAAUUGUCAUGACUCAUGUCAUGUUGUAAAGACAUACAAUUCCACCUCCACACUAUUAUGGGGUGGAUACCAACCAAGUUAACAAGAUCACUAAAUUCAUCCAUUAGUUUCAGUGAUGUUGCAGUGUUACAGUAGUAACAGUAUGGCAUCUGUAUUUUGUGGUUCUAUGUUCAUGGUUGGUAAACAGGUUGUAUUAACUAACAUGAACAAGCACACUGUUGAGCAAUGCUAUUGUAAUGCAUAAGCAAAUUACUUGUGUAUGUUAUAGUAUUCUUUACUCUGUCCAAGUAACCCUUACUGUUGAGAACAAAGAAACAUUAAGAUGUUCAAUACUUUUCAGUCAAAAUAUCCUUGUUAAAGCAAAAGUCAAUCCAUUAGUUCUUUAUUUUAAUUAAUUUUCAGAACGCUCAGCAAAUUGGUUGCAAAAAAAAAAGAUGAAUGGGAUGAUCACUUGGAUGCAGUGAUGUUUGGUCUGAGAACCAAAAAACAAACAACAAAAUACUCCCCAUACUACCUAAUGUUUGGGAGAGAAGCACGCUACCCUUCGGAGAUCCCUGAGCAAUACAGGGUUAGUGUACAUGUUUAAUAUGCACAUUCAGUAUUAUGAAAAAAUGCUUGUUAAUUCUGCACAUUCAUCAUCGUAUUUUCUCUUAUCCUAUUAUUGAUGCAUUGAUGAAAAAAUAGAUACUGUUACAGAUAAUGCUGGCAUUUAUUGAGCUUAAAACACUACAUCCAUACAUUGAUGGCAGUGUGGAAGACAAUGUGGCAGAGGAGGAUGCUACACAAAUAUCAAGAAACUCUCCAAAAGGCAAAAGAAAAUGUAAGAAGGGUGCAGAAGCCACACAAAAACGAUUGGCAAAAUGUGUAAAAUGUGCCCAGUUAGCUGUGGGUGACAAGGUGUAGCGACUGAAUGUGCAUGCACAACAAUGAAAAGGAGGCAAACUGGAGCCUAAUUAUCUUGGCCCGUACACGAUUCAAGCAACUGACGACAAAAAUGCUGAUCUGACGAAUGACAGUGGUGUGCUCCUCCCUAAAAUAAACACAGACCAUCUGAUUCCCUACAAAGAGGAGGUUCCACGCAUUCCACAUAAAUUAAACACUCCAUCACAUGAAGCCACAACAGACAGGACUCCAUCACCUGAAGCCACCACAGCCAGGACUCCAUCACCUGAAGCCACCACUGCCAGGACUCCAUCACCUGAAGCCACCACAGCCAGGACUCCAUCACUUGAAGCCACAACAACCAGGACUCCAUCACCUGAAGCCACCACCACGAGAGUGACACUCCCUGAAGUGGAAGAGACACAUGUGGACGUGGAGGACACCACAGCACCCUUCAGGUCAAAGACUUUAAUAGAGAAGUGUUAGUUUCAGUAGUCUCAUGGUACUAUGUUAAAAUGAAGAUGUAAUGUCAACUUUCAUCCUUUUUACAUGUACUGUACAUUUCCUAUACUAACAUUUCUGAAUGUAGUGUGAAAUGUUUACGAAGUAAAAGCCUUUUGCUAUAGGUUGAUGUUUACAUUAUUCUUUUUGUAAAAGGCAAUGUGCUCUUGAUUAACCUAGCUGAUAAAAUACAGAUAUUAAUCAUAUUAUGUUAUAUUUUACAGUUGUGAAACAGGUUUGGGCAGGGAAAACGGUGUAUGUGCUCCAGUCUAAAAUUGGGCUAUACAAGAUUUUUUUCCAGGACAUAAUGCGAACCCGCCAAAUGGAGAGCUUGAGAGUGAGGUAACUCAGUAGUUGUCAUUACUUGACAACAUUGUCUAAUGUGUAUCCAUUGUUAUGAAUCAGAACACAAAUAUGUAUUUAUAUGAUGUGUCAAUUCUAGAAGGAUCCUAUGUAUUUGUUCAUAUACUUUUCAAAAUGUCUUUUUUUGUCAACUUAUUUCUUCAGGUCAUCAAUGCCUACCUAAACUUAAUUGUAAAGAAGUACAACACAGAGGAAAAAGAAGCAAAAGCACAGUACAUUGACACUUAUGCAAUGACAAAUACAUGGAACCGGAAGGCAUCUAAGCUUCGGGCUGGUAAUACAUUUUCUUUUAUGUAAUACUUAGUGCGUAGAUUUUUGACACAAUGUACAUACAUUUUAAAGUAUAGUUACAUUUUAUUUCUGUUAUUUUUGAAAUCCAGAUUGACCCACAACAGUUCCAAAUUAUCUUGAGCAUUAUCAAUGACAAGGGGCACUGGAUACUGACACACCACUGACCACCCAACCAGGCUUGAUAAUAUUAUGCACUUUAUGUUUUUACAAAAAUGUAUUUUAUGUUUUUACUGUAUUCUAUGUUUUUACUUGUAUUCUAUGUUUUUUACUG
This is a long non-coding RNA of Anguilla anguilla (European eel), 2972 nucleotides long. RefSeq lists it as uncharacterized. The transcript is spliced from 4 exons. The record is from RefSeq and is a predicted model, not a curated record. NCBI's taxonomy places the organism in Eukaryota, Metazoa, Chordata, Actinopteri, Anguilliformes, Anguillidae.